This is a non-coding RNA of Phasianus colchicus (ring-necked pheasant), 627 nucleotides long. The record is from RefSeq and is a predicted model, not a curated record. Lineage: Eukaryota; Metazoa; Chordata; Aves; Galliformes; Phasianidae.
UUAAAAUUCUCCGCAUUUAUUUUAACCGCAUAACAUUUGCAGACAAAUCACUUCUCUCCCAGCGCAAAGUUUGAAGCAGGCUCAGGAUAUAAAGCCCGGCCGCAAUCUGCGGGGUGGAAUUGCUCUCUGUUUGCUGGCACCUGCUCACAGCCACAUUUUCUGCAUGGGGAAAAGGCCAAUCCAUGCUGUGCUAGUGCCCCAGGGUGGGAACCUCGAGGGGAGGAGGUUAAGCUAAGGUGUUGCCCCCACAGCCCCUUGAGACCCCAAUCCUGCUCCCACCCCACCUGGAGCAUCCCUCACCCAAAGCCGGCUCAGGAUGCUGUGCCUCCCGUCUCCAUGGCAACCCCCAUCCUUGCCGGGUUGCCAUGGCUCCCCGGCCCCCAGCCGCAGCGCAUCCUCAGCACAGGGAGGACCCGACGUUUGGGGUCCCCAAGGGGAUACCACCACCGAGGGAUGAGCGGCGUGGCUGGGAGCUGAGGGGUGAGCUGGGGACAGGCUGAGGGCAUGCUGGUGUAUUGCUGACACCUCGGGAGGAAGGAGCUUUGUGACCACGUGGAUAAAUCCCUUCCUGGCGAGUCCGAGCCCUGGAAAAUCUUGUGAAUCUAACGCUGGCCCUUCUGGCAGUUA